Molecule: ribosomal RNA, 468 nt
Filed under: uncultured bacterium
Lineage: Bacteria
Description: partial 16S ribosomal RNA
Rfam family: Bacterial small subunit ribosomal RNA
Source: RNAcentral
GACGAACGCUGGCGGCGUGCUUAACACAUGCCAGUCGAACGGAAAGGCCCUGCUUUUGUGGGGUGCUCGAGUGGCGAACGGGUGAGUAACACGUGAGUAACCUGCCCUUGACUUUGGGAUAACUUCAGGAAACUGGGGCUAAUACCGGAUAGGAGCUCCUGCUGCAUGGUGGGGGUGGGAAAGUUUCGGCGGUUGGGGAUGGACUCGCGGCUUAUCAGCUUGUUGGUGGGGUAGUGGCUUACCAAGGCUUUGACGGGUAGCCGGCCUGAGAGGGUGACCGGCCACAUUGGGACUGAGAUACGGCCCAGACUCCUACGGGAGGCAGCAGUGGGGAAUAUUGCACAAUGGGCGGAAGCCUGAUGCAGCAACGCCGCGUGCGGGAUGACGGCCUUCGGGUUGUAAACCGCUUUCGCCUGUGACGAAGCGUGAGUGACGGUAAUGGGUAAAGAAGCACCGGCUAACUACGUG